GAUGAACGCUGGCGGCGUGCCUAAUACAUGCAAGUCGAGCGAACGGACGAGAAGCUUGCUUCUCUGAUGUUAGCGGCGGACGGGUGAGUAACACGUGGAUAACCUACCUAUAAGACUGGGAUAACUUCGGGAAACCGGAGCUAAUACCGGAUAAUAUUUUGAACCGCAUGGUUCAAAAGUGAAAGACGGUCUUGCUGUCACUUAUAGAUGGAUCCGCGCUGCAUUAGCUAGUUGGUAAGGUAACGGCUUACCAAGGCAACGAUGCAUAGCCGACCUGAGAGGGUGAUCGGCCACACGGGAACUGAGACACGGUCCAGACUCCUACGGGAGGCAGCAGUAGGGAAUCUUCCGCAAUGGGCGAAAGCCUGACGGAGCAACGCCGCGUGAGUGAUGAAGGUCUUCGGAUCGUAAAACUCUGUUAUUAGGGAAGAACAUAUGUGUAAGUAACUGUGCACAUCUUGACGGCACCUAAUCAGAAAGCCACGGCUAACUACGUG
RNAcentral lists this ribosomal RNA (497 nucleotides) under uncultured bacterium. Its description in RNAcentral is "partial 16S ribosomal RNA". It matches the Rfam family "Bacterial small subunit ribosomal RNA", at positions 28 to 507 of the family's 1533-position model. The record is from RNAcentral.